Molecule: ribosomal RNA, 429 nt
Filed under: Actinomycetes bacterium
Lineage: Bacteria; Bacillati; Actinomycetota; Actinomycetes
Description: Actinobacteria bacterium partial 16S ribosomal RNA
Rfam family: Bacterial small subunit ribosomal RNA
Source: RNAcentral
UAGGGAAUCUUCCGCAAUGGGCGAAAGCCUGACGGAGCAACGCCGCGUGAGUGAUGAAGGUCUUCGGAUCGUAAAACUCUGUUAUUAGGGAAGAACAAAUGUGUAAGUAACUAUGCACGUCUUGACGGUACCUAAUCAGAAAGCCACGGCUAACUACGUGCCAGCAGCCGCGGUAAUACGUAGGUGGCAAGCGUUAUCCGGAAUUAUUGGGCGUAAAGCGCGCGUAGGCGGUUUUUUAAGUCUGAUGUGAAAGCCCACGGCUCAACCGUGGAGGGUCAUUGGAAACGGGAAAACUUGAGUGCAGAAGAGGAAAGUGGAAUUCCAUGUGUAGCGGUGAAAUGCGCAGAGUUAUGGAGGAACACCAGUGGCGAAGGCGACUUUCUGGUCUGUAACUGACGCUGAUGUGCAAAAGCGUGGGGAUCAAACAGG